CUCUCUCUCUCUCUCUCUCUCUCUCUCUCUCUCUCUCUGUCUAUGUGCCUUUUUCUCAUGGGGGAAAGAGAAAAACUUUCAGAGCAGAGAGCAGGUCAGAAACUUCCAAUCUUCUCUUAAUUUCUACUAAUAAUGGAUCAACUAUAUAUGUUUAUAACAAAUUGAACAAAAUGUUAAUGGUACAAAAUCUUUUGUGCAGGUCUUCUUCAAGUUUAUGCAAACACCAACAGCACCACCACGACGUCUCUCUCUCCAAAAAUUCAAAAUCAUGGGCAAGAAGGUGAUCGGAGCUCCAUUUUGAUGGUGGUUUGGUCAUGUUAGUUAAUUGGGUGCUGUCCUACCUGAGCUUUUCCUCUCCAACUUUUUUUUUUCUUCUUAAUUUUUGACUUGUUGCCUUUUGUUUCCGUGUAGUGUUAAGUUUUCUUGACCUUGUAAGACCUUUUCUUGACCUUGUAAGCCCUGUGCUGUAUCUUCUAUCUUCUUUUUUUGUAUUGUUUUGAAUCUUGUAUGGGUAAUUACCGAUGUGAGGUUCGGUCAUCUAUCUCUUCAUCCCCGCCCAAACCAAGUUCUCCUUCCUUGUCUAUCCCUCCUGAGCUAUUCAAAUUGUAUUUAUUAAUUAACAUUUCUACAUAGGAAAAUUGUAUAAUAAAUUAAGAUCUUGAAAGCUUC
RNAcentral lists this long non-coding RNA (669 nucleotides) under Actinidia chinensis (golden kiwifruit). RNAcentral describes it as "long non-coding RNA (ACHI_LNC004047)". The record is from RNAcentral. Lineage: Eukaryota; Viridiplantae; Streptophyta; Magnoliopsida; Ericales; Actinidiaceae.